UGUCCUUCAAUGGUAGGACCGAGCCAUCUUGGAGUACUGGUGUCCGCUGUCUCUAGGAUGGUCUUGAUGCCCAUCAUGGAUGUUUGUUUUGUCUUCACGUGAAAGAGUUCGGUAUUUAUUGUAUUUUUCCCAGUCUGGCCUUGUUUCUGUGUGUCCUCGGGUAUUCCAGGGGUAUGUGUGCCCCAAGCUCAAUAAUGGUGUGAUUCUCACAGACUUGUAGAGGUACUGCCCUGGUGGUCCUGGACGAAAUCCGAAGAAUUCUCCGGAUUAUCAGGCAGAGAUUCUUGUUCUUUUCCCUUAGUUUUCUCCAAACCAAACGGAGUCUCUCUCUGUGCUGCAAGGCCUGGAAUUGGGGGUGAGGAGACAGAAGCAACCCUGUGGCUAUCACCAACCGGUACUGUGCGGGUUCACACUCCAACCCAGCACAGCACUGGUCUCACUCAAGGUCCUGCUAUAUCCACUACCCGGAACAUGGGUGAAGCUGGAAGCAGUGGUUGUCAGCAAACUGACAGAGGACCAGAAGACCAAACUCCACAUGUUCUCACUCCUAAGUGGAAAUGAGAACACAUGGUCACAGGGGAGGGGAACAUCACACACUGGAGCCUGAAGGGGGUUGGGGGCCGAGGGGAGAGAGGACAACUGCGUCAUACAUAAUGCCCGCCGGGCUUAAAAUCUAGACGGCCUGGUUGAGAGGUGCCGCCAACCACCGUGGCACAUGUAUACCUAUGUAUUCCAGAAGAAAGAAGAAAGAAAAAAGGAAAAAGGAAGAGAAAGAAGUUUAAAGUUGAGGGUGGGCAAAAGUAGCGGACCCCACAGCAGUGGGCUGCCAAGCUAGGAUGUGAGAACCUUCCAGAAACAAUUGUACAGGCUUCCUACCCAGAAACAGAAAACGAGUAUAGCAUUUCCAAAGCCCUGGUGCUGUACAGCAGAAGCGUUUCUCAGGAGCCGGCCACGAACCCACCAAGAAACCGGCGAACGCUUAUGCAGAAACAUCAGAAGGCCAUUGGAAUAACCAAACAAGCCCACGCCGCAAAAUUCGUCUAACUUUGCAAACAGAUUGUGUCCCCCCGAAGGGGUGCACCGUUCCUGGAAGUACCUGCAAUACCAGGUCGAUGCGUGGAGUGGACGGAGCAAGCUCCUAUUCCAUCUCCCUGCUCCAAAAAUCCAUUUAAUAUAUUGUCCUCGGAUAGAGGACGUAUCAGAUAUUAAAACUGAUAAGAACAGAUACUACACUUGAUCUUAGCCAAAAGGCCGAGAAGCGAUAACCACUACCGCCACGCAGGCCACGACUCACAUUCGUCCAC
RNAcentral lists this long non-coding RNA (1304 nucleotides) under Callithrix jacchus (white-tufted-ear marmoset). RNAcentral describes it as "lncRNA (ENSCJAG00000080690.1)". Lineage: Eukaryota; Metazoa; Chordata; Mammalia; Primates; Cebidae. The record is from RNAcentral.